GAUGAACGCUGGCGGCGUGCCUAAUACAUGCAAGUCGAGCGAACGGACGAGAAGCUUGCUUCUCUGAUGUUAGCGGCGGACGGGUGAGUAACACGUGGAUAACCUACCUAUAAGACUGGGAUAACUUCGGGAAACCGGAGCUAAUACCGGAUAAUAUUUUGAACCGCAUGAUUCAAAAGUGAAAGACGGUCUUGCUGUCACUUAUAGAUGGAUCCGCGCUGCAUUAGCUAGUUGGUAAGGUAACGGCUUACCAAGGCAACGAUGCAUAGCCGACCUGAGAGGGUGAUCGGCCACAUGGGAACUGAGACACGGUCCAGACGCCUACGGGAGGCAGCAGUAGGGAAUCUUACGCAAUGGGCGAAAGCCUGACGGAGCAACGCCGCGUGAGUGAUGAAGGUCUUCGGAUCGUGAAACUCUGUUAUUAGGGAAGAACAGAUGUGUAAGUAACUGUGCACAUCUUGACGGUACCUAAUCAGAAAGCCACGGCUAACUACGUG
Molecule: ribosomal RNA, 497 nt
Filed under: uncultured bacterium
Lineage: Bacteria
Description: partial 16S ribosomal RNA
Rfam family: Bacterial small subunit ribosomal RNA
Source: RNAcentral